Molecule: long non-coding RNA, 164 nt
Filed under: Callithrix jacchus (white-tufted-ear marmoset)
Lineage: Eukaryota; Metazoa; Chordata; Mammalia; Primates; Cebidae
Description: lncRNA (ENSCJAG00000079455.1)
Source: RNAcentral
CUGUCAAGUCACUGAGGAUUGGCUUUGUUCCUCUUCCAAACGCCACAGCCCCUGCCAGGGAGUGUCUUGCCUGCACUUCUGUCUGGGUCUAAUACUCUCUCCUCCCUCUGUGUUUCCAGACCUACGGCUGGCAGCAGCUGCCCUCCAGAAGGAUAACUCCUGUU